This 792-nucleotide ribosomal RNA is filed under the name Eleutherodactylus pinchoni. Its description in RNAcentral is "partial 16S ribosomal RNA". It matches the Rfam family "Bacterial large subunit ribosomal RNA", at positions 1413 to 2528 of the family's 2925-position model. Lineage: Eukaryota; Metazoa; Chordata; Amphibia; Anura; Eleutherodactylidae. The record is from RNAcentral.
CGUCAAAGCUUAUUAUAUCCAAUAAUCCCUUUAACCUAAUUGAACCCCUCAGCAGUACUGAAUGACCCCAUACUAUUAUGGGACCCAUUAUGUUAAAACUAGUAACAAGAAGCUCCUCUUCUCUUAUUAUGUAAACGCAAAUCAGCACAGAAAAUCUACUGAUCACUAACAACUUAAACCAAAGUAACAACCCCCCCACCUAAACCCUUACUUAACUUAUUGUUAACCUGACACAAGAGCAUAUAAAGAAAGAUUACAAGAAAAAGAAGGAACUCGGCAAAUUCUGAUUCCGCCUGUUUACCAAAAACAUCGCCUCCUGAUAACAUAUAGGAGGUCCAGCCUGCCCAGUGACCUAGUUUAACGGCCGCGGUAUCCUAACCGUGCGAAGGUAGCGUAAUCACCUGUUUUUUAAUUGAAGACCUGUAUCAAUGGCACCACGAGAAUCACACUGUCUCCUUUUUCUAAUCAGUGAAACUAAUCUCCCCGUGAAAAAGCGGGGAUAAAAAUACAAGACGAGAAGACCCUUUGGAGCUUAAGACAAGGUAACAAUUUUGUUUUCUUUAUCCACUCUACCUAUUUAACACUUAUUUACUAGUCUUUGGUUGGGGCAACCGCGGAGUAAAAAAUAACCUCCAAGUUGAAUGGAAUCCUCCUAAACUGAAAGCCACAUCUUUAUGUAUCAAUAAUUUGACAUUUAUGACCCAAUAUUUUGAUUAUCGAACCAAGUUACCCUAGGGAUAACAGCGCAAUCUACCUCAAGAGUCCAUAUCGACAGGUAGGCUUACGACCUCG